RNAcentral lists this long non-coding RNA (917 nucleotides) under Scleropages formosus (Asian bonytongue). RNAcentral describes it as "lncRNA (ENSSFOG00015029259.1)". Lineage: Eukaryota; Metazoa; Chordata; Actinopteri; Osteoglossiformes; Osteoglossidae. The record is from RNAcentral.
CGGGUUCGAGGUUAUUAGCUACCCUUUGAUGGAGAGAGCCUUUGAAAGCAACGGCCCCAGAAGCGCGGCCCCCCUCGCCGCGGCCAAAUCCGGCUUUGCGCGGGCAGACUCGCCAGUCCCCGAGGGGCAGCCGGGGUCUGGAGGAGGAUCAGACGGCACGGGGCUCGGAAGGGGCACCCCCAGCUACCUGGAUGGGGAGUCCGAGAGCGGAGGCCCAUCCGCAAGGGGAGAACGUGUCGCCGUCGCCGAGUCAUUUUCAGUCUACUGCUUUCUGGUGGACGAGGGGCAGCGGCAUCGUACACGGCACACCACAAACAUUCAACCCUGGCAGUGGGGUGAGCCGCCCUGUGGAAUGUCACAGCGAUGGAACAAGAUAAUUAAUCGUUUAUUUGCUGUCCAGCUAAAACAGCGCCAGUGCACCAUGUGUAGGAUGUUUGGUUGUCAAGGAGACCAUCUUCAAUAUGUAAACAAGCCUUGCAGCAUUUAUGAAGGCACGGCCUUGUAAUGUAGUGGUUCCUAGUUAAAGGAAGGGACCUGCUCUCGUACCAUUGAGCAGGGUAGUUAUGCUGAAUUGCUCCGGUAAAAUACUGUGCUGUACCAAUAGGUAAAACUGCGAGGGAUUUUGGGUUAUGCUCCCAAGUUACGUGUGGUUACUUUGAAUGUUCGGUCAAGAGCACGUAGAAAAUAUUCUAUAUUUUAUACAGUAAAAGAGGUAAUUAGAGGCAGAAAAGUGAAGGAUAUUAACUGUUCCCAUAAAGUUCCCUCAGCAUUUCUUUAAUUAGAGAAAAUUUAAAGAAAACUAAUUAAAUAUAUCAUUAAAAGAAUAUUACUUUGAUAUUCAGUAGUUUGCAGCCACUUUUUAGAACCACUUUUAAGAGUAAAAAAAAAUCAUAAAAAUUAGACCUAAUAGUACCGCA